Molecule: transfer RNA, 91 nt
Filed under: Succinatimonas hippei
Lineage: Bacteria; Pseudomonadati; Pseudomonadota; Gammaproteobacteria; Aeromonadales; Succinivibrionaceae
Also listed under: 2 other names
Description: tRNA-Ser
Rfam family: tRNA
About the family: Transfer RNA (tRNA) molecules are approximately 80 nucleotides in length. Their secondary structure includes four short double-helical elements and three loops (D, anti-codon, and T loops). Further hydrogen bonds mediate the characteristic L-shaped molecular structure. tRNAs have two regions of fundamental functional importance: the anti-codon, which is responsible for specific mRNA codon recognition, and the 3' end, to which the tRNAs corresponding amino acid is attached (by aminoacyl-tRNA synthetases). tRNAs cope with the degeneracy of the genetic code in two manners: having more than one tRNA (with a specific anti-codon) for a particular amino acid; and 'wobble' base-pairing, i.e. permitting non-standard base-pairing at the 3rd anti-codon position.
Source: RNAcentral
GGUGAGAUGUCUGAGUGGCUGAAAGAGCACGCCUGGAAAGCGUGUAUACGUGAAUAGCGUAUCACGGGUUCGAAUCCCGUUCUCACCGCCA